UCGCCAGACUCCUACGGGAGGCAGCAGUGGGGGAUAUUGCACAAUGGGGGAAACCCUGAUGCAGCGACGCCGCGUGUGGGAAGACGGUCCUCUGGAUUGUAAACCACUGUCCCCAGGGACGAAGAUGACGGUACCUGGGGAGGAAGCUCCGGCUAACUACGUGCCAGCAGCCGCGGUAAAACGUAGGGGGCGAGCGUUGUCCGGAAUGACUGGGCGUAAAGGGUGCGUAGGCGGCAUAAUAAGUUAGAAGUGAAAUACCCAGAGCUUAACUCGGGUGCUGCUUCUAAGACUGUUGAGCUUGAGUGCGGGAGAGGUUAAUGGAAUUCCUAGUGUAGCGGUGGAAUGCGUAGAUAUUAGGAGGAACACCAGAGGCGAAGGCGAUUAACUGGACCGUAACUGACGCUGAGGCACGAAAGUGUGGGUAGCAAACAGGAUUAGAUACCCCUGUACA
Molecule: ribosomal RNA, 451 nt
Filed under: uncultured bacterium
Lineage: Bacteria
Description: bacterial SSU rRNA
Rfam family: Bacterial small subunit ribosomal RNA
Source: RNAcentral